UACGGGGGGGGCAAGCGUUGUUCGGAAUUACUGGGCGUAAAGGGCGCGUAGGCGGUUCGUUAAGUCGGAUGUGAAAACUCUGGGCUCAACCCAGAGCCUGCAUCCGAAACUGGCGGACUAGAGUGCGAGAGGGGGAAGCGGAAUUCCUGGUGUAGCGGUGAAAUGCGUAGAUAUCAGGAGGAACACCGGUGGCGAAGGCGGCUUCCUGGAUCGCUACUGACGCUGAGGCGCGAAAGCUAGGGGAGCAAACAGG
This 253-nucleotide unclassified non-coding RNA is filed under the name uncultured Acidobacteriota bacterium. Its description in RNAcentral is "uncultured Acidobacteria bacterium contains 16S-23S intergenic spacer region". It matches the Rfam family "Bacterial small subunit ribosomal RNA", at positions 524 to 776 of the family's 1533-position model. The record is from RNAcentral. Lineage: Bacteria; Pseudomonadati; Acidobacteriota.